GGCUGGGUGGCCGAGCGGUCUAAGGCGGUAGACUCAAGAAUCAUUUCUUUCCUGCGAAAUGCGGGGUGAUUUCUACUCUCGAAAGAGGCAUGCGGGGUGAUUUCUACUCUCGAAAGAGGCGCGCGUUCGAAUCGCGCCCCAGUCA
Molecule: non-coding RNA, 145 nt
Organism: Collariella sp. IMI 366227
Lineage: Eukaryota; Fungi; Ascomycota; Sordariomycetes; Sordariales; Chaetomiaceae
Source: the annotation of a GenBank genome assembly